RNAcentral lists this ribosomal RNA (710 nucleotides) under uncultured marine eukaryote. Its description in RNAcentral is "SSU rRNA". It matches the Rfam family "Eukaryotic small subunit ribosomal RNA", at positions 618 to 1332 of the family's 1831-position model. The record is from RNAcentral.
GUUAGAACGCUCGUAGUCGGAUUUCGGGGCGGGCCGACCGGUCUGCCGAUGGGUACGCACUGGUCGGCGCGUCCUUCCUUCCGGAGACCGCGCCUACUCUUAACUGAGCGGGUUCGGGAGACGGAUCGUUUACUUUGAAAAAAUCAGAGUGUUUCAAGCAGGCAGCUCGCUCUUGCAUGGAUUAGCAUGGGAUAAUGAAAUAGGACUUUGGUGCUAUUUUGUUGGUUUCGAACACCGAAGUAAUGAUUAAAAGGGACAGUCAGGGGCACUCGUAUUCCGCCGAGAGAGGUGAAAUUCUCAGACCAGCGGAAGACGAACCACUGCGAAAGCAUUUGCCAGGGAUGUUUUCACUGAUCAAGAACGAAAGUUAGGGGAUCGAAGAGGAUCAGAUACCCUCGUAGUCUUAACCAUAAACCAUGCCGACUAGGGAUUGGGGGAUGUUCACUGAUUGACUCCCUCAGCACCUUACGGGAAACUAAAGUCUUUGGGUUCCGGGGGGAGUAUGGUCGCAAGGCUGAAACUUAAAGGAAUUGACGGAAGGGCACCACCAGGUGUGGAGCCUGCGGCUUAAUUUGACUCAACACGGGGAAACUUACCAGGUCCAGACAUUGUGAGGAUUGACAGAUUGAGAGCUCUUUCUUGAUUCGAUGGGUGGUGGUGCAUGGCCGUUCUUAGUUGGUGGAGUGAUUUGUCUGGUUAAUUCCGUUAAC